CGGUAGAGAUUCUUCGGAAUCUUGAGAGCGGCGUACGGGUGCGGAACACGUGUGCAACCUGCCUUUAUCUGGGGGAUAGCCUUUCGAAAGGGAGAUUAAUACCCCAUAAUAUAUUUAUCGGCAUCGAUAGAUAUUGAAAACUCCGGUGGAUAGAGAUGGGCACGCGCAAGAUUAGAUAGUUGGUGAGGUAACGGCUCACCAAGUCUACGAUCUUUAGGGGGCCUGAGAGGGUGAUCCCCCACACUGGUACUGAGACACGGACCAGACUCCUACGGGAGGCAGCAGUGAGGAAUAUUGGACAAUGGGUGAGAGCCUGAUCCAGCCAUCCCGCGUGAAGGACGACGGCCCUAUGGGUUGUAAACUUCUUUUGUAUAGGGAUAAACCUACUCUCGUGAGAGU
This 399-nucleotide ribosomal RNA is filed under the name Chryseobacterium sp. Benji_VG31. RNAcentral's name for it is "bacterial SSU rRNA". It matches the Rfam family "Bacterial small subunit ribosomal RNA", at positions 67 to 466 of the family's 1533-position model. The record is from RNAcentral. Lineage: Bacteria; Pseudomonadati; Bacteroidota; Flavobacteriia; Flavobacteriales; Weeksellaceae.